AACUUUUGUUUUGGAACUACAGGUUUUUCUUUGAUUUCUCAGCAACUUAUGUUGGGGUAGGGAUGAUCUGUCCUCACAUCAUAAAUGUUUCCAUUCUUGUUGGAGGGAUUCUGUCGUGGGGUAUCUUGUGGCCUCUAAUUGAAACUAGAAAGGGGGAUUGGUACUCUGCUGAUCUCGACUCACAUAGUUUGCAAGGGCUUCAAGGUUACAAGGUGAAUUCCUAUUACACCAUAGUUUCACCCAAAACUGCUAUAUUUAAAUUUGCUUUUUCAAUAAUAUAUCGUUCACUAAAACAAAAUGUGAACUAAAACCAUAACAGGUAUUCAUUGGCAUUGCCAUGAUACUCGGUGAUGGCCUAUACAACUUUUUCAAGGUUGUCAGCCGAACUCUAACCGGCUUGAUUAAAAAAAUUCAACAAAGAAAUGCAAAUAUGCAAAUCCCAGUGGUAGAACAUUCCUCUCCUGCCAAGAAAUCACUAUCUUAUGAUGACCAACGCCGCACCCAACUAUUUCUUGAAGAUCAAAUCCCAACGUGGUUUGCAAUUGGAGGCUAUUUCACCCUUGCUGCAGUCUCUACAGCAAUCCUUCCUCACAUCUUCCACCAACUCAAGUGGUACUAUGUAAUUGUUAUCUAUGUCUUUGCACCAAGCUUGGCCUUCUGUAACGCAUUUGGGUGUGGACUCACUGAUUGGUCACUCGCAUCUACCUACGGGAAGCUUGCCAUCUUUACAAUUGGGGCAUGGGCAGGGGCCUCACAUGGUGGAAUCCUUGCUGGUUUAGCAGCAUGUGGAGUGAUGUUGAAUAUAGUUUCCACUGCCUCUGAUAUCAUGCAGGAUUUUAAGACAGGUUACUUAACCUUGGCUUCACCCCGUUCAAUGUUUGUGAGCCAAGUGAUUGGCACUGCUAUGGGAUGUGUGAUUUCUCCUUGUGUCUUUUGGGUUUUCUACAAAGCUUUUCCUGAUCUUGGGCUUCCUACAAGUGAAUAUCCCGCUCCCUUUGCUACUGUCUACUAUAGCAUGGCUAAACUUGGGGUUGAAGGCUUCUCAGCUCUACCAAAGGAAUGCCUCAAGCUAUGUUACGGAUUCUUUGCUGCAUCCAUUUUCAUCAACUUAAUAAGAGAUGCUCUGGGAAAGAAACGUUCGUGGUUUAUACCACUUCCAAUGGCAAUGGCGAUACCAUUUUAUUUGGGUUCCUAUUUUGCCAUUGAUAUGUGUGCUGGUAGCCUCAUACUUUUUGUGUGGCAGAAGAUAAACAGAGCCAAGGCAGAUGCCUUUGGUCCUGCAGUAGCUUCUGGUUUGAUUUGUGGAGAUGGCAUCUGGACUUUGCCUAGCUCUAUACUAGCUCUAGUCGGGGUGAAACCUCCAAUCUGCAUGAAAUUCCUGUCGAGGGCUACAAACACUAAGGUAGAUAAGUACUUGGGAUCCUAGAUAUGCUGGGGGUAAAAAUUAAUUUGUAUCCGAACAAGUAUUGCCUUCAUAAACCAAAAAGGAUUAUCCUGUAUGGAUAAAUAAGAGAUUAAAUUUAUGCACUCCAUUCCUAUGUUUCAAGUCUUCUACAAUAUACCCUAUAAAAAGGAUUUCAAGUUAUCUGAUGUAGAUUUUAAAAAUACACCACAACUUUUAGAGUAGCUUUAUACAAUUUUUAGAUACUAUUACUGCUUACCAAAGGAAGAUGAAGAUAGCUUGUAGACAGCCAUGGCUAUCAAACUGAAACAAAUUCACUUAUCUACCUUGUACAAAUAAAAUUGAAUCUUAAAUAAAAUAUGAAAAUGUUAAACAGUGUAGUAGCAAAGAGUUUCUGCUUACACGAGAUGUUGAGUUUAAAAAUCACAAUGGAGUUAUGCCACUUCUUAUUCAUGUCUUGUAUUAAUUCUUGGGUAAGGAGGAUAUCUGCCAGCUACAAAACUGCAUUCAUUUUCCGAUAGCUCGGUGAGGCUAUCCUAACUUUGGUCACAAUUUUAUUCAUCACUAUAAAUAGACUAGUCGGUCACGUCUUUCCAUCUGCUCACUGAUUCAGAAUUAGAGAUAUCAAUGCUACGCUUCAUUGCAUCCAAGAAGGGAUUUGCCUAAAACCAACUUUAACACCAUAAUUUAAAUCUUAAGAAACCAGCCAUAUUUUCCAACAGAUUUACCUCAUAUAUUGCCAUAAUUAAUUCAACAGAUACUUCCAUAGAUUCUCAUAAAUAGUCGUGGAAUGUACAGUUAGGGAAAAAAUCAACAGAAAUAAUGAAUUUUCUUGUAAAGUAGGACCCAAUAUUUUAAAAUUUUGUUAGGGUCAAUUCUCGAGUGUAACAUUUUUCAAUGCUAAAAAAUUUCCAGGAUCCUGGGACCACCGUAGUAGAUUGCAAUCUUUUUUCUUCUUUUCUUUUUCUUUUGAGUGGGCGUGGUCAGCGAGAAUUAAUUAUUGAGAACGGACAAAUCGGUAAAACAGCUCUAACGGAGUGAAGUAUCAAUUCUUGCACCCUUAAGUAGCGAAAAAACAAUUGGGACAAGAUGUAUUAGUAAGUAGAUUGUAACUUAGAAAAAGAAUGACAUGAAUUAAAUAAUAAAUCAAUAACUAUUUGAAACAGUUCCAACCAAUUCCCCUAUACACAUCCCACCCAAGCCGCAACCCUAAUUCAAACAGAUGUCACCGGAAUAACCACCCAAAACCCCCAACUCGUGAACUCAAAAAUUGCCGACAACUAAUCCUCCGAUCCCACCCGCCAUCAUGGACUGUCACCGUUCGACUCCCACAAUCCAGGCGUCCAAUCUGACGAUGGUAUUUCAACAAAAAGUAGAGAAACAAUCGAUGCAGCUUUUGGGAUUUCAAAUCCCGAUCUUUGGGUGGGGUGGGAUUCGAUUUCUGGCCUUUAUAGAGAUGAAUUUGAUUUUUAGUUUCAUAUUGAACGUGGUGGGCAUGGGUGGCAGGGGCUAGUGAUUUUUCUUGGUUUGAUUUUCAAGAUUGGGGGUUAGUUUUCUUUGUUUGAUUUUCGAAUGUACAAUGGGUUGGAAGGUGGUGAUGGAGAGUGCCGGCACUGGUAGUGCGUGGGUGUGGGUCGAAGAUGGCAGCCUGAUUACGAGUUCUUUCUGUCCAGGAGAACCUAGUAAUUUCGUUUAUGUACUUAUUUCUAAUUUCUCGUGUGGUACUGACUAGUGCUAAUGCUUAUUCAGCGUUGUAUAGCAAUUGGUAAACCGAGGUAGUAGCUCAACAGCAUACUUACAUUUAUGCAGUUUAGCUAUGUAGAUUAUUUCAAAGUUAGCUUUUUUUCCCCCCUUUAUCAUAUUUUGAUUUGGAAGGUGAAGACUAUAAAACCGAUAAGAAUUAUCUGUGGCUAUGUGGCUAUCACGACCAGUAGCGUUUGUUAGUUUGGGCACAUUUUGGCAUGUUUAAUACUAGCUCAGAGAAAACAAAAUUAAAAUAGUGUUCACUCUACUUUUCAAUCAACAAGUCGUAUCUAAUACUGUGUGGUAAAUAUGCACUUAUUGUGCAAGUUUUGAAGGAUACGAGGUGAGGAGGAAAUUGUGUAAACAUGUUUGCCAUUGCUUCUUUUAUCAUUAGGUAUUUUCUCUAGAUUUUCUUGAUGUUGACAUAAGCAAGUUUCUUCUAUGUUUUUACCUUUAUAGUUAAGCCAAACAAGUUUUACAAAUAUUUUCUUAGAUAGUCUUAGAAUUAAUGGUUUGUUUGAUUACAUUUAUUUUCCAUGGAAAAUAUCAGUUUUCCACCCAAAUUCCUACUUUGAGUGUUUGAUUGCUAUUUUUUUCCAUGGAAAACAUUUUCCAACUUUUGAAAAUAUGCCUAAUUUUCCUUGUUUUUAAGGAAAACAUUUUCUUUGAAUAGAGGUGAUUUUUAUUUUCCAUAAAAGAUGGAAAACAUUUUCUUUUCUAGGUGAUAUUUUCCAUGUUAAUCAAACAUGCUCUUAGUUGAAAAAAUAAUUUUUCUUGUAAAGUAGGACCCAAUAGGUCGAAGACUUGGUAAGGGUCAAGUCUUCGAAUUGUUGCCCAUCACAAUAUUUUUGUUAUAUUUUUCAAUGAAUCCAUAUUCUUCCACGAUCCUGGGGCCGCCUAUUAUUAUGUGGGUGAUUGUCAAGUCGAAACGGUAUAAAGGAGUUAAAAAUUUGCUAAUAUCAGUACUUCAAAAUUAUGAUACAAGAAAAAAGCAAGUGGCAGUUUCUUUUGUAGGCAAAAGAAAAGCCAAGCAUGUUAGUACGUUAUAUACUAGAUUUUAUUUUUCAUGUAGCUAAUCUCUUGAUAACUACUCAUAACAAUAUUCAUAAUACGUAUAGUUAGUGUUGACUCGAUGACUUUUACACAGUUCCAUUGGUGAAGACAGAAUGAAUGUUGUAAUCAAGAUGGUACCUAUCAUAUAGUUUGGAGGAUUGUAUACUAUUAAGAGUGAAAAAAUACUAAUUUUCUGUCAAUAUGAAAAAUAUCAUAGACCAAUCUUGUCUAUGAUUGUGAUUAUUUAGGUGACGUUUUGUCGGUUUUGCUGCAAUAUUUGAUUUCAUCUCAACGUUUGAGUGGAAAAUUUUAUAGAUAUUUUCUUGGAUAGUCUUAGAAUAUGAUAUGAGAAUCUAAUUAAUUGAAAAAAUAAAAUUUCUUGUAAGGUAGGACCCAGCAACUUGAAGACUUGGUAAGGGCCAAGUCUUCGAAUUGUUGUCCAUCACAAUAUUUUUGUUAUAUUUUUCAAUGAAUCCAUGUUCUUCCACGAUCCUGGGGCCGCCUAUUAUUAUGUGGGUGUUUGUCAAGUCGAAAUGGUAUAAAGUAGUUAAAAAUUUGCUAAUUUCAAUACUUCAUUGUAUUGUCAAGAGAUAAAAAAAAAAAAAAAUUAUGAUACAAGAAAAAAGCGAGGGGCAAUUUCUUUUGUAGGCAAAAGAAAAGCCAAGCAUAUUAAUAUAUUAUAUACUAGAUUUUAUUUUCCAUUUAUCUAAUCUCUUGAUAACUACUCAUAGCAAUAUUCAUAAUACGUACAGUUAGUGUUGACUCAAUGAAUUUUACACAGUUCCAUUGGUGAUGGCAAAAUGAAUGUUGUAAUUAAGAUGGUACCUAUCGUAUAGUUUGGAGGAUUGUAUACUAUUAAGAGUGAAAAAUACUAAUUUUCUGUCAAUAUGAAAAAUAUCACAGACCAAUCUUGUCUAUGAUUGUGACUAUUUAGGUGACAUUUUGUCUGUUUUGCUGCAAUAUUUGAAUUCAACUCAAUGUUUGAGUGGCAAAUUGAAAAGUAAAAAUAAAUCAGUGGGUUCCAAGUUAUUUUCAAUUUUCUAAAUGCAAAUUCAACUAUGGACAUAUAUCUAUCAUCUUUUCACAUUUCUUUUUAUAUGUUAUGAAGUUGAUUGCUCAACUAGUGUGAAGAUUGAUCAAGAUUCAUUCCAAGUGUGAACUAAUGCAAUUUAAGAUCUAUAAGAAAAGAUGUUGAUUUAGAGCAUGCUCUAUUAAUCUUAAAGAUCACUUUUAAGUUACUUUUAUGUGAUAACUUACUUUUUUCUUCUUAUUUUUAAAUAUAUGUUUAUUUUGAAAGUAAUUAUUGUCAACAAGUUGAAGUUGGUUUUGAAUGCCUCUCAAUUUGAGAGUUGCAUUGAUUACAUAGGUGGAUUAUUACUCAUUACAAGGCUGAGAAUCAGCCAUUACCUACAUCUCGUUUGGGUAAAGAUGGAAUAUGUAAUAAUUACAAAUAUCACCUAUAAAUAAUAAUAUUCCCUAUCCUGCUAAUACUCCCCUCAAAUUGAUGUUGGUUUGUCAAGAAGCAUCAAUUUGUUCACAAGAAAUUGAUGACACUGUCGAGUCACUGCCUUUGUAAAAAUAUCAGCUAUCUGAAGGGUAGUGGAAAUAUGAAGAAGAGAAAUAACACGAGUACCCAAGGCCUCUUGAAUAAAAUGACAAUUCACUUCAAUAUGUGUUUCGCGCGGGUAAUCGCUAACAAUUAAAAAGGGAUCAGACGAUUGUGUAAGGAACAAACCUCUUAAAACAAAGUCCCAAAAAGGGGUGUUUUAUUAGCGAUGUUUUACAAUUGAAACUAAAUAGAAUGCCUCCAAGGGGCGCAAGCGCACGAGUACUAAAAGAAAUAUUUAAGUUUAAACUAAGAAAUUGAAAUGACAUAUUCUCUAUUUGAGAGUGUUUAAUUCGGGGUCUUUUGCUCUAUGUCUUCUCUUCCUUUCAUAUUCCCUUGAUGAUUUUGUCGUGAUCAAUCGCUUAAAAAUUGCUUGAUUACUUUAUAACUACCCUCUUUAUUUAUGGUGGCUAACUUGUCGUGGAACUGCCGUCUCUAACUGUUGCUACUACUCUUUGUCGUUCAACCGUUUUUAACUGAACUUCUUAAAUCGUGGAACGUGAUAAGGUUACCCAAUAACUGCUUCAAUAACUGCACUUCUGGAUAAUCAUAACAUCUUAUGUUUGCUAAGAUCCUGGGCGAUUCGAAGGUUUGGGCGAGAACAUGGUCAUAGUUUUGGACGACUGUAAGGCACUUCAUUCGCUCAGAUCUUGGGCGUCUUGCAAGAUUGGACGAUAAUGUUACCGCGUUCGUGGACUUCCAUUGCAUUCAUUAAUAACUCUAUCUGGGCCUUUAUCCUGAAUUGCCCAGUUUGGCUUCAUUUUUUGGGCUAUUUGAUUUGGAAAUUCCCCAAUUGGACUUCAUUCCUUGGACUUUUCGAUUUGGGCUGCACUUUUAGUGUGUCAACAAUAUGUUUUGUACGUUUAUGGUAAAUAGGGUUAGCAGCAAUCUGAAUUGCACUUGUGUUAUCAGCAUGGAGAGGAGUAGGAGUGGAUUGAGGAAAAUCAAGUUCAGCCAGGUUAGCAGCAUGUAGAGUGAUGAUGAAUAUAUUUUCCACUGCCUUUGACACUAUGCAAGAUUUUAAGACAAGUUACUUGACCUUUGCUUUAACCCGUUUAAUGUUUGUGAGCCAUGUGAUUAGCACUGCAAUGAGACUUCUCCUUGUGUCUUUUGGAUUUUCUACAAAACGUUUCCUGAUCUUAGGCAUCCUACAAGUGAAUAUCCCGCUCCCUUCGCUACUUUCUACUAUAACAUGGCUAAACUCGGGGUUGAAGGCUUCUUAGCGCUACUGAAGGAAUACCCUAAGCUAUGGUACGGAUUUUUUGCUGCAUCCAUUUUCAUCAACUUAAUAAGAGAUGCUCUGGGAAAGAAAUGUCUGUGGUUUAUUCCACUUCCAAUGACAAUGGCGAUACCAUUUUAUUUGGGUUCCUACUUUUCCAUUGAUAUGUGUGUUGGUAACCUCAUACUCCGUGUGUGGCACAAGAUAAACAUAGACAUGACAGAUGCCUUUGGGCCUGCAGUAGCUUCAAUUUUGAUUUGUGGAGAUGGCAUCUGGGCUCUGCCUAAAUUUAUACUAGAUCUAGUCGUGAUGAAACCUCCAAUCUGUCUGAAGUUCCUGUCGAGGGCUACAAACACUAAGGUAGAUAAGUACUUGGGAUCCU
This 7405-nucleotide long non-coding RNA is filed under the name Olea europaea subsp. europaea. Lineage: Eukaryota; Viridiplantae; Streptophyta; Magnoliopsida; Lamiales; Oleaceae. The record is from RNAcentral.